UACGGAGGGGGCUAGCGUUGUUCGGAAUUACUGGGCGUAAAGCGCACGUAGGCGGACCGGAAAGUUGGGGGUGAAAUCCCGGGGCUCAACCCCGGAAUUGCCUUCAAAACUCCCGGUCUGGAGUUCGGGAGAGGUGAGUGGAAUUCCGAGUGUAGAGGUGAAAUUCGUAGAUAUUCGGAGGAACACCAGUGGCGAAGGCGGCUCACUGGCCCGAUACUGACGCUGAGGUGCGAAAGCGUGGGGAGCAAACAGG
RNAcentral lists this ribosomal RNA (253 nucleotides) under uncultured bacterium. RNAcentral's name for it is "partial 16S ribosomal RNA". It matches the Rfam family "Bacterial small subunit ribosomal RNA", at positions 524 to 776 of the family's 1533-position model. The record is from RNAcentral.